RNAcentral lists this unclassified non-coding RNA (296 nucleotides) under plant metagenome. Its description in RNAcentral is "partial contains small subunit ribosomal RNA, internal transcribed spacer 1, and 5.8S ribosomal RNA". The record is from RNAcentral.
UUUCCGUAGGUGAACCUGCGGAAGGAUCAUUAUCGAGUUUGAAAGGAGUUGAUGCUGGCCUUCCGAGGCAUGUGCUCGCUCCUGUCAGAUCCAACUCAACACCUGUGCACAUCAGAGGGCGCGAGUGGUCUGUUCCUUGCCAACGGGCCUCGAUUCCUCCGUGGGUCGAGGCUUGGAGGGGUGGAUCCUGGCGACCUCCUUCACAUCACAAACUCUUGAACGUAUCCAGAACGUGUAGCAGCCCUCGUGUGGGGCAGUCUUAAUUACAACUUUCAACAACGGAUCUCUUGGCUCUC